AGCCUGAUGCAGCGACGCCGCGUGAGGGANGACGGCCUUCGGGUUGUAAACCUCUUUCAGUAGGGAAGAAGCGUAAGUGACGGUACCUGCAGAAGAAGCGCCGGCUAACUACGUGCCAGCAGCCGCGGUAAUACGUAGGGCGCAAGCGUUAUCCGGAAUUAUUGGGCGUAAAGAGCUCGUAGGCGGUUUGUCGCGUCUGCUGUGAAAGACCGGGGCUCAACUCCGGUUCUGCAGUGGGUACGGGCAGACUAGAGUGCAGUAGGGGAGACUGGAAUUCCUGGUGUAGCGGUGAAAUGCGCAGAUAUCAGGAGGAACACCGAUGGCGAAGGCAGGUCUCUGGGCUGUAACUGACGCUGAGGAGCGAAAGCAUGGGGAGCGAACAGGAUUAGAUACCCUGGUAGUCCAUGCCGUAAACGUUGGGCACUAGGUGUGGGGGACAUUCCACGUUUUCCGCGCCGUAGCUAACGCAUUAAGUGCCCCGCCUGGGGAGUACGGCCGCAAGGCUAAAACUCAAAGGAAUUGACGGGGGCCCGCACAAGCGGCGGAGCAUGCGGAUUAAUUCGAUGCAACGCGAAGAACCUUACCAAGGCUUGACAUGAACCGGAAAGACCUGGAAACAGGUGCCCCGCUUGCGGUCGGUUUACAGGUGGUGCAUGGUUGUCGUCAGCUCGUGUCGUGAGAUGUUGGGUUAAGUCCCGCAACGAGCGCAACCCUCGUUCUAUGUUGCCAGCGGUUCGGCCGGGGACUCAUAGGAGACUGNCGGGGUCAACUCGGAGGAAGGUGGGGACGACGUCAAAUCAUCAUGCCCCUUAUGUCUUGGGCUUCACGCAUGCUACAAUGGCCNGUACAANGGGUUGCGAUACUGUGAGGUGGAGCUAAUCCCAAAAAGCCGGUCUCAGUCGGAUUGGGGNCUGCAACUCGACCCCNUGAANUCGGA
This 937-nucleotide ribosomal RNA is filed under the name Paenarthrobacter nicotinovorans. Its description in RNAcentral is "bacterial SSU rRNA". It matches the Rfam family "Bacterial small subunit ribosomal RNA", at positions 380 to 1330 of the family's 1533-position model. The record is from RNAcentral. Lineage: Bacteria; Bacillati; Actinomycetota; Actinomycetes; Micrococcales; Micrococcaceae.